CCUACGGGAGGCAGCAGUGGGGAAUAUUGGACAAUGGGGGAAACCCUGAUCCAGCGACGCCGCGUGAGUGAAGAAGUAUUUCGGUACGUAAAGCUCUAUCAGCAGGAAAGAAAAUGACGGUACCUGACUAAGAAGCCCCGGCUAACUACGUGCCAGCAGCCGCGGUAAUACGUAGGGGGCAAGCGUUAUCCGGAUUUACUGGGUGUAAAGGGAGCGCAGGCGGCGUGGCAAGUCAGAUGUGAAAACCCGGGGCCCAACCCCGGGAGUGCAUUUGAAACUGCCAUGCUGGAGUGCCGGAGAGGUAA
Molecule: ribosomal RNA, 305 nt
Filed under: uncultured bacterium
Lineage: Bacteria
Description: bacterial SSU rRNA
Rfam family: Bacterial small subunit ribosomal RNA
Source: RNAcentral